This 484-nucleotide ribosomal RNA is filed under the name uncultured bacterium. RNAcentral describes it as "bacterial SSU rRNA". It matches the Rfam family "Bacterial small subunit ribosomal RNA", at positions 28 to 526 of the family's 1533-position model. The record is from RNAcentral.
GAUCAACGCUGGCGGCGUGCCUAACGCAUGCAAGUCGGACGGCUCAUCAUUUCGGUGGUGGGUAGUGGCGGACGGGUGCGGAGCGCGUGACCGACCUGCCCUUCGGCGGGGGAUACCGGCGGGAAACCGCCGUUAAGACCGCGUAUGCUCGCCGGCCGGUGGGGCGGGCGAGGAAAACCCAUUUCGGUGGGUGCCGGGGGAGGGGGUUGCGUCCGAUUAGCUGGUUGGCGGGGUGACGGCCCACCAAGGCGAUCAUCGGUAGCUGGUCUGAGAGGACGAUCAGCCACAGGGGGACUGAGACACGGCCCCCACACCUGCGGGUGGCAGCAGCGAGGGAUUUUCGGCAAUGGGCGCAAGCCUGACCGAGCAACGCCGCGUGCGGGACGACGCCCCUCGGGGUGUAAACCGCUUUUCCCGGGGACGAGGAUGACGGUACCCGGGGAAUCAGCCCCGGCUAACUACGUGCCAGCCGCCGCGGUAACAC